This 449-nucleotide ribosomal RNA is filed under the name uncultured bacterium. RNAcentral's name for it is "bacterial SSU rRNA". It matches the Rfam family "Bacterial small subunit ribosomal RNA", at positions 1 to 507 of the family's 1533-position model. The record is from RNAcentral.
GACUCCGUGGCUACAGAACGAACGCUGGCGGCAUGCCUAACACAUGCAAGUCGAACGAGACCUUCGGGUCUAGUGGCGCACGGGUGCGUAACGCGUGGGAAUCUGCCCCUUGGUUCGGAAUAACAGUUAGAAAUGACUGCUAAUACCGGAUGAUGACGAAAGUCCAAAGAUUUAUCGCCGAGGGAUGAGCCCGCGUAGGAUUAGCUAGUUGGUGAGGUAAAGGCUCACCAAGGCGACGAUCCUUAGCUGGUCUGAGAGGAUGAUCAGCCACACUGGGACUGAGACACGGCCCAGACUCCUACGGGAGGCAGCAGUGGGGAAUAUUGGACAAUGGGCGAAAGCCUGAUCCAGCAAUGCCGCGUGAGUGAUGAAGGCCUUAGGGUCGUAAAGCUCUUUUACCAGGGAUGAUAAUGACAGUACCUGGAGAAUAAGCUCCGGCUAACUCCGUG